RNA transcript from Branchiostoma floridae (Florida lancelet), 1867 nucleotides. It is a transcript of the gene named bifunctional peptidase and arginyl-hydroxylase JMJD5-like, with no coding region annotated. NCBI's taxonomy places the organism in Eukaryota, Metazoa, Chordata, Leptocardii, Amphioxiformes, Branchiostomatidae. The transcript has 8 exons. The record is from RefSeq and is a predicted model, not a curated record.
AUGACACAACUUUUUACUUCCUGUUGGAUUCUUCAAACUGUGACACACAACAGGCGCUCGGGCCGUAUGUAAUUAAAGUAAACUGGAUCAUGGACUGGUGAACUGGUUCGUCAGCUUUCUGCAGCACAACGUGUUAUUUGAUCAGAAGACUACUCUACGAUGUUGCCGAGAUAUUUUCUGUUAGUUGUGCUCGCACCUCUGCUGUACUUGAAGGUGUCUGGUGGCGAGAACAAUGACGGCAACACACAAAGUUCACCGUCAGAAGAGGGUGCAGAAUUCUGCACGAAGGGUGACUGUCCCCGCGGAAGCGCUGUGGUGCCAGGAGACGAGGAAACGCCCGAGCGGCGGCGGGGACGAGGGCACGGGCGCCCGUUCGGGUCUCACCGCGAGCCCGCCGGAGCCGUGACGGCCCUUCCCUACAUGAUCUCCCCGCAGGACUUCCACCAGCACUUCGUGGCGAAGCACAGACCACUGCUGUUUAAAGGUGGGGCAAAACACUGGCCCGCCCUCACGCUGUGGGAUGAAGAGUAUCUAAAGCAACAUUUCAACACACAACAGGACGGAAACCAGAACAAGGCCAAAGAACUGAAUCCUGACAUGAAGAAGGAUGUGAUGCUGCCCACGUGUCUGCGCUGUGAGGAGAUGUUCUCCCAGUCUUUCACCACUCAGCUCCAUACAGGCACUGGGGAGGACAGACUGCACAUAGACACACAGGAGAACCUGUUAGUAGUCCUGCGUGGGCCCCGGACGGUACUUCUGGUGUCACCGCUACAUUCUAACGACGUGUAUGCAGAUGAGGCAGAGGUGCUCGGAGUCUCUCCUGUGGAUGUCAACUCUGUGGAUAUGGACAAGUAUCCAAGAGUGGCCGAUGUGCAGUACCAGCAGGCAGAGCUGGAGGAAGGUGACCUGCUGUACGUCCCACAGCUGUGGUGGAGACAGGUCAGGCCUGACCCAGGCAGGCAGCAGGCUGUGAGCAUCAGAUGGAGCUCGAAGCCUGCCAGCAAACAGGCACAGGACACAAACAAACAGGCACAGGGCACAAAGGAACAGCCACAGGAGCAGAGUCUACUUUCACAGGAACUCAAAACUGCAGGAAACCCAGAUAGGAAGUAUUCCUACGGACAGUGGCUGGCUGCGCACGAGCUCUGGGUCCAGAAUGUCACAAGUGUGUGAUGUUUGGUGUUUUUUUGUGUAGGAAACCCAGAUAGGAAGUAUUCCUACGGACAGUGGCUGGCUGCGCACGAGCUCUGGGUCCAGAACGUGAGCAGCUCCAUUCCCAGGAUUACCUGCACCAGUCAGAACAGUCCCAUGAGCCUCUACAAGUUCGAGACCAUGAAGGAAGAUCUGGAAGAGUUCAAUGGACCUGACUACUCUGAGGAAGGUGAAAGGUGCGUAUUUGACGACAAGAACCCAAAGUGCCCGUGUUCCUACGCCCCGUGCAUGGAGGAUGACGCGACGCCGCGGUGCGUCCGUUACAUCCUGGACUACUGUCACGAGUUCGAGGAUAGGGGAUGCGUUAUCGAGCUUCCACAGCUGCUCAACAAACUCUACAAACGGGACUUUGAAAAACUGGCACAGAUUAAGUCAGACUAUGUUCCGUAGCACAGCUAGAUUCCAUGGGGCCUGCCCUGUGUUGCAACACCUCUAUGCGCCAACACGCUAUGUUCUGACUCCCAUAUGUUGGGGUUGGGCUAUGUUGGGAUUAGGGACAGGGUUAUAGGUUUAUUGUCAAUGUCUGUAGCUGCUAUGCAUCAGACUAUGAUGCCUGUAAAUGAUAGAUUCGGGUUAGGGGGUGUCAGAACAUAGUCGUAGGGGUAUUGAAACAUAAGAGUGUAACCACAGUCCAUCACGCUGACUUAAUUCUAUG